AUUGAACGCUGGCGGCAGGCUUAACACAUGCAAGUCGAGCGGGGUGAUGGUGCUUGCACUAUCACUUAGCGGCGGACGGGUGAGUAAUGCAUAGGAAUCUGCCUAUUAGUGGGGGACAACAUCUCGAAAGGGAUGCUAAUACCGCAUACGUCCUACGGGAGAAAGCAGGGGAUCACUUGUGACCUUGCGCUAAUAGAUGAGCCUAGGUCGGAUUAGCUAGUUGGUGGGGUAGAGGCCUACCAAGGCGACGAUCUGUAGCGGGUCUGAGAGGAUGAUCCGCCACACUGGGACUGAGACACGGCCCAGGCUCCUACGGGAGGCAGCAGUGGGGAAUAUUGGACAAUGGGGGGAACCCUGAUCCAGCCAUGCCGCGUGUGUGAAGAAGGCCUUAUGGUUGUAAAGCACUUUAAGCGAGGAGGAGGCUACUGAGACUAAUACUCUUGGAUAGUGGACGUUACCCGCAGAAUAAGCACCGGCUAACUCUGUGCCAGCCGCCGCAGUAA
This 503-nucleotide ribosomal RNA is filed under the name uncultured bacterium. RNAcentral's name for it is "partial 16S ribosomal RNA". It matches the Rfam family "Bacterial small subunit ribosomal RNA", at positions 30 to 523 of the family's 1533-position model. The record is from RNAcentral.